RNAcentral lists this ribosomal RNA (1343 nucleotides) under uncultured bacterium. Its description in RNAcentral is "16S ribosomal RNA". It matches the Rfam family "Bacterial small subunit ribosomal RNA", at positions 28 to 1378 of the family's 1533-position model. The record is from RNAcentral.
GACGAACGCUGGCGGCGUGCUUAACACAUGCAAGUCGAACGGAAAGGCCCUGCUUUUGUGGGGUGCUCGAGUGGCGAACGGGUGAGUAACACGUGAGUAACCUGCCCUUGACUUUGGGAUAACUUCAGGAAACUGGGGCUAAUACCGGAUAGGAGCUCCUGCUGCAUGGUGGGGGUUGGAAAGUUUCGGCGGUUGGGGAUGGACUCGCGGCUUAUCAGCUUGUUGGUGGGGUAGUGGCUUACCAAGGCUUUGACGGGUAGCCGGCCUGAGAGGGUGACCGGCCACAUUGGGACUGAGAUACGGCCCAGACUCCUACGGGAGGCAGCAGUGGGGAAUAUUGCACAACGGGCGGAAGCCUGAUGCAGCAACGCCGCGUGCGGGAUGACGGCCUUCGGGUUGUAAACCGCUUUCGCCUGUGACGAAGCGUGAGUGACGGUAAUGGGUAAAGAAGCGCCGGCUAACUACGUGCCAGCAGCCGCGGUGAUACGUAGGGUGCGAGCGUUGUCCGGAUUUAUUGGGCGUAAAGGGCUCGUAGGUGGUUGAUCGCGUCGGAAGUGUAAUCUUGGGGCUUAACCCUGAGCGUGCUUUCGAUACGGGUUGACUUGAGGAAGGUAGGGGAGAAUGGAAUUCCUGGUGGAGCGGUGGAAUGCGCAGAUAUCAGGAGGAACACCAGUGGCGAAGGCGGUUCUCUGGGCCUUUCCUGACGCUGAGGAGCGAAAGCGUGGGGAGCGAACAGGCUUAGAUACCCUGGUAGUCCACGCUGUAAACGGUGGGUACUAGGUGUGGGGUCCAUUCCACGGGUUCCGUGCCGUAGCUAACGCUUUAAGUACCCCGCCUGGGGAGUACGGCCGCAAGGCUAAAACUCAAAGGAAUUGACGGGGCCCCGCACAAGCGGCGGAGCAUGCGGAUUAAUUCGAUGCAACGCGUAGAACCUUACCUGGGUUUGACAUGGAUCGGGAGUGCUCAGAGAUGGGUGUGCCUCUUUUGGGGUCGGUUCACAAGUGGUGCAUGGCUGUCGUCCGCUCGUGUCGUGAGAUGUUGGGUUAAGUCCCGCAACGAGCGCAACCCUUGUUCACUGUUGCCAGCACGUUAUGGUGGGGACUCAGUGGAGACCGCCGGGGUCAACUCGGAGGAAGGUGGGGAUGACGUCAAGUCAUCAUGCCCCUUAUGUCCAGGGCUUCACGCAUGCUACAAUGGCUGGUACAGAGAGUGGCGAGCCUGUGAGGGUGAGCGAAUCUCGGAAAGCCGGUCUCAGCUCGGAUUGGGGUCUGCAACUCGACCUCAUGAAGUCGGAGUCGCUAGUAAUCGCAGAUCAGCAACGCUGCGGUGAAUACGUUCCCGGG